Long non-coding RNA from Coffea arabica (coffee), 322 nucleotides. RefSeq lists it as uncharacterized. Lineage: Eukaryota; Viridiplantae; Streptophyta; Magnoliopsida; Gentianales; Rubiaceae. The record is from RefSeq and is a predicted model, not a curated record.
AAAUCGCUUGCAAAAGUUGUUGAGGAAAAGAAAAGGAAAGAAGAUGUCGAGCUUUCAGAGAUAGACAUGUUUGAGUUAAGUCGAAAGUCAAAGAAGUCGGGGGGCUGGUAAAUGACAAAGCAAAAGAGACCUUGGACAAAAUGAGGGAAUUGCAGGCUACAACUUCAAUGACUAGCAAGGAAAUAUGCGAGCAAGAACUUGGUUACAUACCUGGACACAUCCGCGGUCGUAGUGCAACCAAGAAGCAAGCUGCUGAGGUAGAACGCUGGAGGCAUGAGAUUGAGGACAGCCGAAAAAGAGCAGAUGAAACAGAAAAAUGAGC